AGAGUUUGAUCCUGGCUCAGGACGAACGCUGGCGGUAUGCUUAACACAUGCAAGUCGAACGAGAUCCCUUUUUCAUGCUCUCCGAGCAAGGAAAAGAAGAUUGCAGUGGCGGACGGGUGAGGAACACGUAAGAACUUACCUUUUGGCGGGGGAUAACAGCGGGAAACUGCUGCUAAUACCCCAUAAUGCUGAGGAGCUAAAAGUGAAAACUGCCAAGAGAGAGGCUUGCGUCUGAUUAGCUAGUUGGGGGGGUAAUGGCUUCCCAAGGCGACGAUCAGUAGCUGGUCUGAGAGGAUGAUCAGCCACACUGGGACUGAGACACGGCCCAGACUCCUACGGGAGGCAGCAGUGGGGAAUUUUCCACAAUGGGCGAAAGCCUGAUGGAGCAAUACCGCGUGGGUGAAGACGGUUCGUGGACUGUAAAGCCCUUUUCUUAAGGAAGAAUGAAUGACGGUACUUAAGGAAUAAGCACCGGCUAACUCUGUGCCAGCAGCCGCGGUAAUAC
Molecule: ribosomal RNA, 505 nt
Filed under: uncultured bacterium
Lineage: Bacteria
Description: bacterial SSU rRNA
Rfam family: Bacterial small subunit ribosomal RNA
Source: RNAcentral